AUGCAGGGGUACCCUGGAUUGCCUUCACAUCUGACUUUAUCCCCCCAGCUAGGCUGGGCUGCUUCUCAACCAGCAAGGCCACCUGUGCUCUUGUGUAUGCCUCGACCGCUUCAACCCAGGUCCAGGGGCAGCUCUGAGACUCUGGGGCCCCGGGGCAAUCACCAGAGAGGACAAGAAGAGAGCUGGGAGCUGCAUGGGGAGCACAACCAAAACCCUCGCCCUGUCUCCAGGCCCAGAAGGAAGUGUCUCCUGCCUCGCCUUCCUCAAGACUCGGGCAGCCAACUUGGAAUCAGCCUCCGCUUCGCUGAUGGCCAACGGGCCCUGAGAUGUGAAAUUCUGGCGGGCCCACAUCAGCAUGGUGAAUCUUUGGAGCUGGUAGAAGAAGAGGUUAUGCUCUCAUCCUCCCUGGACCGCACUGUGCGCCUGUGGAGCAGGGACGAGGAGUUCAUCGGGACCUUUGGGCAGAGCAGCCCCUGGGACAUUUUCACUCCUGCCUCCUGGAGCCACCCUAGAGUGCCCCAUGAAGUCCUGAGAGAUCCCCAGAGCAUGCCUGCUCACCCAGUGCUAGAAGGAGGUGUUCCUGCCACGUGCAGAGGAGAAGAGCAAGACAAGGUGGCGGAGGGCAAGGCCAGUGCUGAGGUUGGUCCUGGCACACACAGUUCACCUGGGCUUGCUCAUAGCUCCAGGCAGAUCGGCACUGGUUAUCAACUGUACCCUGAAAGGGUCAAGGCAUGACCCAGAGAACCAAGUCAACUCAGGAAUAAAAGCAUAUCCCAAGAUCCUGCUACUGACCAGGGCCGGGGGCCUCCUGGUUCAUCUGGGGGUAGUUGGAGCUGAUCUCCCAGCAUCACUUGACUCUGUCCCUCUUUCUCACCAGCAAAAAGGUUGUUGUCUGUGGCCUUGGAACACAGAUGGACUCAGCACCAUGCUCGACCCCCUGUCACAUCAGAGAGACAGACGCUGAAACUGCAGCCCACAGCACACAGUCCCCAUUAGGAAAUACAUUUUAACACAGGGCUUCCUGAGUGAAAGGAAGGAAUAAUGGGUUUAGUGCCUGGGUCCAUGAAAGUCAAUGUCAGAGCAAGAGAUGGUGAAAAGACCCUGGUAGAUGCAGUGUCUUGAUUUAGAGCUCAGUGAAAUAUAUGAAUUUCCAGGAAAUGCUUGCCCUUUAAUAAACUGAAAGAAAGGUCAUUUCAUGAACUAUUGCUCACUGGUUAUGUUACAACUCAAGGCAGAACACCUGCUCUGCCCACAAAUUAAUGUGUCUAGGAUUUUGUAUCUGCAGCCUCUUGGAAUACUGAUCACACAAUGGAUCCUCGUCACUGACAUCUUCACAGAGACACACUCAAUUUGGGGAAUAGGGGGUCCAGGCAAGCAUUGAUCAAGAAAGCCUUCUGCCUUGUUAGGGGCACCCUCAUUUCCCCAUGUUGUUCUCA
This 1436-nucleotide long non-coding RNA is filed under the name Capra hircus (goat). RNAcentral's name for it is "lncRNA (ENSCHIG00000005997.1)". Lineage: Eukaryota; Metazoa; Chordata; Mammalia; Artiodactyla; Bovidae. The record is from RNAcentral.